CAUGCGCUGCGUGCUUAUACAUGUCAAGUGGAGCGACGAACCAGGGCUUGCCCUGGGGCAGAGCCGCGAACGGGUGAGAAACACGUGGGUAACCUGCCCAGAUGACCGGGACAACCCGAGGAAACUCGGGCUAAUACCGGAUGUGUUCACCCCACAUCAGUGGGAUGAGGAAAGGAAGUUUCGGCCUCCGCAUCUGGAUGGGCCCGCGGCCCAUUAGUUUGUUGGUGGGGUAAUGGCCUACCAAGACUUCGAUGGGUAGCUGUUCUGAGAGGAAGAUCAGCCACACUGGGACUGAGACACGGCCCAGACUCCUACGGGAGGCAGCAGUGGGGAAUCUUGCGCAAUGCGCGAAAGCGUGACGCAGCAACGCCGCGUGCGGGAAGACGGCCUUCGGGUUGUAAACCGCUUUCAGUUGGGACGAAGCUUCGCCGGUGAAUAGCCGGCCGGAGUGACGGUACCUUCAGAAGAAGCCCCGGCUAACUACGUGCCAGCAGCCGCGGUAAUACGUAGGGGGCAAGCGUUGUCCGGAAUCAUUGGGCGUAAAGCGCGUGUAGGCGGCUUGGUAAGUCUGCUCUGAAAGCCCGGGGCUCAACCCCGGGAGGCGGGUGGAUACUGUCAAGCUCGAGUCCGGAAGAGGAGUGUGGAAUUCCUGGUGUAGCGGUGAAAUGCGCAGAUAUCAUGAGGAACACCAAUGGCGAAAGGCAGCACUCUGGGACGUGACUGACGCUGAGACGCGAAAAGCGUGGGGGAGCA
Molecule: ribosomal RNA, 753 nt
Filed under: uncultured bacterium
Lineage: Bacteria
Description: bacterial SSU rRNA
Rfam family: Bacterial small subunit ribosomal RNA
Source: RNAcentral